Molecule: long non-coding RNA, 115 nt
Organism: Herpailurus yagouaroundi (jaguarundi)
Lineage: Eukaryota; Metazoa; Chordata; Mammalia; Carnivora; Felidae
Exons: 3
Source: RefSeq, a predicted model, not a curated record
UCAUGAUCUCAGGGAAAAUACAAACCCAAACUAUAAUGAGGUAUCAUCUCUCACCUGUCACAAUGGCGAAAAUCACUAACACAAGAAACAACAAGUAUUGUGGAGGUUGCAGAGA